This 302-nucleotide ribosomal RNA is filed under the name uncultured bacterium. RNAcentral's name for it is "bacterial SSU rRNA". It matches the Rfam family "Bacterial small subunit ribosomal RNA", at positions 32 to 317 of the family's 1533-position model. The record is from RNAcentral.
AAUCAACGCUGGCGGCGUGCCUCAGACAUGCAAGUCGAACGCGAAAGCCCUUCGGGUGAGUAGAGUGGCGCACGGGUGAGUAACACGUAGGUAAUCUACCUUUGGGUGGGGAAUAACGACCGGAACGGUCGCUAAUACCGCAUAAUGCAGCGGCACCACAUGGUGACAGUUGUUAAAGACGGGGGAGUCGUAAGACCUCGCGCCUGGAGAUGAGCCUGCGGCGGAUUAGCUAGUUGGCAGGGUAACGGCCUACCAAGGCGACGAUCCGUAGCCGGCCUGAGAGGGCGGACGGCCACACUGGC